CCUACGGGCGGCAGCAGUGGGGAAUAUUGGACAAUGGGGGCAACCCUGAUCCAGCCAUGCCGCGGGUGUGAAGAAGGCCCUCGGGUUGGAAAGCACUUUCAGUGAGGAAGAACGCCUGGUGGUUAAUACCCAUCAGGAAAGACAUCACUCACAGAAGAAGCACCGGCUAACUCCGUGCCAGCAGCCGCGGUAAUACGGAGGGUGCGAGCGUUAAUCGGAAUUACUGGGCGUAAAGCGCGCGUAGGUGGCUUGAUAAGCCGGUUGUGAAAGCCCCGGGCUCAACCUGGGAACGGCAUCCGGAACUGUCAAGCUAGAGUGCAGGAGAGGAAGGUAGAAUUCCCGGUGUAGCGGUGAAAUGCGUAGAGAUCGGGAGGAAUACCAGUGGCGAAGGCGGCCUUCUGGACUGACACUGACACUGAGGUGCGAAAGCGUGGGUAGCAAACAGGAUUAGAUACCCCUGUAGUC
This 465-nucleotide ribosomal RNA is filed under the name Vreelandella stevensii. Its description in RNAcentral is "partial 16S ribosomal RNA". It matches the Rfam family "Bacterial small subunit ribosomal RNA", at positions 338 to 795 of the family's 1533-position model. Lineage: Bacteria; Pseudomonadati; Pseudomonadota; Gammaproteobacteria; Oceanospirillales; Halomonadaceae. The record is from RNAcentral.